RNAcentral lists this transfer RNA (78 nucleotides) under Burkholderiaceae bacterium. RNAcentral's name for it is "tRNA-Pro". It matches the Rfam family "tRNA". From Rfam's summary of the family: Transfer RNA (tRNA) molecules are approximately 80 nucleotides in length. Their secondary structure includes four short double-helical elements and three loops (D, anti-codon, and T loops). Lineage: Bacteria; Pseudomonadati; Pseudomonadota; Betaproteobacteria; Burkholderiales; Burkholderiaceae. The record is from RNAcentral.
CGGAGAUUAGCUCAGUCUGUCUAGAGCGUCGAACUCGGACUUCGAAGGCCAUCCGUUAAAAUCGGGUAUCUCCGACAA